GGGCAGAGUAAGCAGCGAGAGUUUCCAUUUCCGCUACGGAAUAUGCAGGCAUGGCCGUUGGUCUACCAUCAACAUCUUUCUGAGGAGACACCACAGAACCAGAAACUUGAGGAUUUUCGAUCAUCGCAGGGUAUUCCAGCAAAAGAAGAUCGAGUCGGAAUAUACGGUUGAAGGACGGGCUUAGAACCUUUGAGAUUGGGCGUUUGAUAUUACUGCUCGGAAGGAUCCACCGCCAGAAUCGAGAAAGCAAGAGGUACGCUACAGUGGACUGAGGAUUGUCCAUCGGACAACGCGUUCUGCUCUAUCUCAUUCUGCACGAGCUGCAAACGCUGUGUCCCUCUAAAGCUGCAAUUCCGGAAUCACACAAUGACACGUCAUGCAUUGGACGACGUGCUGUAAUCCAAUGGUGGCUGAUCCGUGGCUGCUUAUAGAAACUCAGUUUGAUACUUAGGAGUCCACACUCCUCCACAAUGCAGCAGGCUAGAUUUUUCCGAUCAUAGUCCUUACAUUGGAAAAAGCGGCAUUCCAAAAGCCUGAAAGGUGUGUGAAUGGAAACAAAAUUGCCUAGCUGCACCAAUGGAAAUUAGCUUUGCAGUUUGAUGAAGUGAUAUUAUACUAUGCUUCGAGGAGCUAGAACUCAGUUUCAAAUGAUUGCAAGGAUUUUACUCUUCAAGCAAGCAUUGUGAUCGAGAUUAUCAUGAAUGGGUUACCAGCAUGAUAUAAUCAACAAAUUAUUCUAUACAUUCUCUACGAGAGCUAGAUACAUGUGUAAAUGACAACACUGCCCUUUAUCA
This is a long non-coding RNA of Eucalyptus grandis, 794 nucleotides long. RefSeq lists it as uncharacterized. The record is from RefSeq and is a predicted model, not a curated record. The transcript is spliced from 2 exons. NCBI's taxonomy places the organism in Eukaryota, Viridiplantae, Streptophyta, Magnoliopsida, Myrtales, Myrtaceae.